CUCAACCUGCACAUUUAGAAAUACAUGCAGGGCUGAGUACAAAGUACUCAGUAGACAUAUGCCGAAAAUCAUAUACAUAUUAAUAAACUAUAAAUUGUCAUGCCAUUUCAAAAGUAUAACCAGGGAUUUUUACUUAUAAAGGCCCAGGCAUACUAAAUUCGUUUGUGAUUCUAAAGUUCGACUGAUCAGUCUAAGUUCUUUUGUAUUCUAUCAUAUCUGAAGCUAUGUGCCGGAGAGGUGGCCACCCCUCACGGACACUUGACCGGCCAACUCGCUCGAUGACUCACGGUCACUGUGUACACUAAUCCCGGCAGGAUAGCUAUCCGCUCAGGAUCCGAAUUCGAUUAUAAACAAGCAGAUAGAUAUCAUACUAAAAUCUAAAACAUUUAUGGCAAGACAAUAGUUGAAAUAAUUUCAAUUCAAAUAUUCCUGAAAAUAAUAACUUGCUCGAAUGUAAACAUUUACUUUGCUGGAUAUAUAUAUGAAAGUAAUGCCUACCUGUUGUAGAGUUUCGCUACUAAGGCAGUGAUUCUCCCGAUAGCACCGACUCCCACACUUGACCUUUUAUUAGGAAUAUAAGGUAAGUCGUUUGGGAAUCCUUAAUAAUGAGAAUGCAUGUUUACUAUGAAGUCCUUAUUAACCGGAAAUUAUUAUUCUAAGAUAAUAACUCGAGUAGUUUUAUUAAUAAUCAUGACUAUGAUUAUAUAACAAAACUAAAUUAAAGACUUGACUAACGAGUUAGAUUAAUAGCACAUGUUAAUAAUAAUCUAAUUUAAGGAAAUAAUUAAUAGACUAAGUAAUAUGAAACAUGAUUCCCUUAAAUCAAUAAAUAACUCUCAUCUAGAUUAGUCCAUAAUAAAGACAAUAAGUCUAAUUAAUGGAAUAAUCCAUUCUAAUUAGAAGUAAUAAAAUAAAAUAGGGUUUCAAUAAUUAACUACUUAAAGGAACUAAGUAAUUAGUAAAACUUAGUCAAAUUACCAAUUAAUCAAGGCUUAAUUAAAAUAAAUUAAAAGACCAUAAAUUAAAUAAAUGAAAUCUGUUAGCCCAUUUUUUUAUAAAUAAAACUAGCCCAAGAUUCUGAAGCCUAAAAAAAACGCAGCCCAAUUUCAGUUUUGUUUUAAAACCUUGGCCCAAAGUGGAGGCCCAAAUUUAAGCCUAUUUACCUCUCUCUCUCUCUCUCUCUACGUCUCUUAUCCCACUCUCUCUCUUCAAAGAAACGCACACACACAGACGCACAUCUCAUUCUCUCACGCGAUCUGUCGCCGCCGCCUGAGACCGGCGAAGGAUCCGUCGUCGCGCCGUCACCCGCUCCGCCUGUAAUCUCCCAGUGAAACCGCCGCCGUCUGGAGCCAUCGCCGCCGUCUGGAGCAGCUGCCAUCGUCUGGAGCUGCUGUUGCUUCGCCUGGAGUCGCCGCCAACUUCUGUUGUUUCGCCGGAGUCGUGGCCUGGAGUUGCUGCUGCUCGUUCGGUGGUCAGCGGCUCGUUAGGGGAGCGCCGUCGUCGGCCGCUGCUGUUGGCAGCAAGAGCCCGACAGCCGCCUCUCCCGGAGCUGCCGUCGCCGUGAGUCGCAGAGCUCCGACAGUCCACCAUCCGCUCUCUCUCGUUUUAUCACUCACGAUAGGGAGUAGGAGGAUUUGCAGCCUUUGAGAAGAAUGCGGAUCAUGCCGUAGAGAGUUGAGGUGAUUUGAGAUGUCAGCAGACUUUGAAAAACAAAUUUGCAGCUUUUGAACAGAAAGAUUUGCUACACUAGAAAAUCUGUAGCUUUUGAAAAAAAAGGUGGCUGAAGUAAUGAGGUGUUAGAGGGGAUGGUGGAAUAGUGUAGGAUUUUGAUGUGACUAUGUAUCGAGAUCUAAUUUCUCAUAGUUCGGACUUGUUUGUGUAAUAA
Salvia miltiorrhiza (redroot sage) is the source of this 1885-nucleotide long non-coding RNA. RefSeq lists it as uncharacterized. Lineage: Eukaryota; Viridiplantae; Streptophyta; Magnoliopsida; Lamiales; Lamiaceae. The record is from RefSeq and is a predicted model, not a curated record. The transcript has 2 exons.